RNAcentral lists this unclassified non-coding RNA (205 nucleotides) under soil metagenome. Its description in RNAcentral is "partial contains 5.8S ribosomal RNA, internal transcribed spacer 2, and large subunit ribosomal RNA". The record is from RNAcentral.
AACGCACGAGACCUGCGGACCUGCGGAAGGAUCAUUAGAGAAAUCUCGACGGCUGUGCGCCUUUGGGCCGCACGUCGUUCAAUUUCCACACAUGUGCACCUUCGAUGGGAGCGGGGAGACCUGCCUUCCGUCGCCUUUGUUAAACCAAUUCAGUCUCGAAUGUAAAAACCCCAUAUAAAAAUACAACUUUUAACAACGGAUCUCU